ACGGGUGAGUAAUGUCUGGGAAACUGCCUGAUGGAGGGGGAUAACUACUGGAAACGGUAGCUAAUACCGCAUAACGUCGCAAGACCAAAGAGGGGGACCUUCGGGCCUCUUGCCAUCAGAUGUGCCCAGAUGGGAUUAGCUAGUAGGUGGGGUAACGGCUCACCUAGGCGACGAUCCCUAGCUGGUCUGAGAGGGUGAUCGGCCACAUUGGGACUGAGACACGGCCCAGACUCCUACGGGAGGCAGCAUG
RNAcentral lists this ribosomal RNA (250 nucleotides) under uncultured bacterium. Its description in RNAcentral is "partial 16S ribosomal RNA". It matches the Rfam family "Bacterial small subunit ribosomal RNA", at positions 102 to 353 of the family's 1533-position model. The record is from RNAcentral.